GACGAACGCUGGCGGCGUGCUUAACACAUGCAAGUCGAACGGUAAGGCUCCAGCUUGCUGGGGUACACGAGUGGCGAACGGGUGAGUAACACGUGGGCGACCUGCCCUGCACUUCGGGAUAAGCCUGGGAAACUGGGUCUAAUACCGGAUAGGACCGCACCGUGAGGGUGUGGUGGAAAGUUUUUUCGGUGUGGGAUGGGCCCGCGGCCUAUCAGCUUGUUGGUGGGGUAAUGGCCUACCAAGGCGGCGACGGGUAGCCGGCCUGAGAGGGUGGACGGCCACAUUGGGACUGAGACACGGCCCAGACUCCUACGGGAGGCAGCAGUGGGGAAUAUUGCACAAUGGGCGGAAGCCUGAUGCAGCGACGCCGCGUGGGGGAUGACAGCCUUCGGGUUGUAAACUCCUUUCACCAUCGACGAAGGGUUUCUGACGGUAGAUGGGGAAGAAGCACCGGCUAACUACGUGCCAGCAGCCGCGGUAAUACGUAGGGUGCGAGCGUUGUCCGGAAUUACUGGGCGUAAAGAGCUCGUAAGUGGUUUGUCGCGUCGUCUGUGAAAUUCCCGGGGCUUAACUCCGGGCGUGCAGGCGAUAGCGGGCAUAACUUGAGUACUGUAAGGGAGACUGGAAUUCCUGGUGUAGCGGUGAAAUGCGCAGAUAUCAGGAGGAACACCGGUGGCGAAGGCGGGUCUCUGGGCAGUAACUGACGCUGAGGAGCGAAAGCAUGGGGAGCGAACAGGAUUAGAUACCCUGGUAGUCCAUGCCGUAAACGGUGGGCGCUAGGUGUGGGUUUCCUUCCACGGGAUCCGUGCCGUAGCUAACGCAUUAAGCGCCCCGCCUGGGGAGUACGGCCGCAAGGCUAAAACUCAAAGGAAUUGACGGGGGCCCGCACAAGCGGCGGAGCAUGUGGAUUAAUUCGAUGCAACGCGAAGAACCUUACCUGGGCUUGACAUAUACAGGAUCGCGCCAGAGAUGGUGUUUCCCUUGUGGCUUGUAUACAGGUGGUGCAUGGUUGUCGUCAGCUCGUGUCGUGAGAUGUUGGGUUAAGUCCCGCAACGAGCGCAACCCUUGUCUUAUGUUGCCAGCACGUUGUGGUGGGGACUCGUAAGGAACUGCCGGGGUUAACUCGGGGGAAGGUGGGGAUGACGUCAAAUCAUCAUGCCCCUUAUGUCCAGGGCUUCACACAUGCUACAAUGGUCGGUACAGUGGGUUGCCAGUCCGUGAGGGCGAGCUAAUCCCGCAAAGCCGGUCUCAGUUCGGAUCGGGGUCUGCAACUCGACCCCGUGAAGUCGGAGUCGCUAGUAAUCGCAGAUCAGCAACGCUGCGGUGAAUACGUUCCCGGGCCU
This 1343-nucleotide ribosomal RNA is filed under the name uncultured bacterium. RNAcentral describes it as "16S ribosomal RNA". It matches the Rfam family "Bacterial small subunit ribosomal RNA", at positions 28 to 1381 of the family's 1533-position model. The record is from RNAcentral.